Long non-coding RNA from Glycine soja, 2418 nucleotides. RefSeq lists it as uncharacterized. The transcript has 6 exons. Lineage: Eukaryota; Viridiplantae; Streptophyta; Magnoliopsida; Fabales; Fabaceae. The record is from RefSeq and is a predicted model, not a curated record.
UGUCUAGUGAUAAGAUUAAUAUAUUGUAUAUAAAUGGGGAUAACUCUUACCUUACAAAUCAAUUUUGUAAGCUUGAGUUAGUUAGACCCAUAAUCUACUUUUUAAGAUGGUAUUAAAGCCGAUCCUAACAAUAUGUUGUCUUCUAUUUUUAAAAUUCAGAUUCAGUUGUUCUGUUACAAUUUUCUUGAGACACAUCCUUCCACACACAAAGAAAUCUCAAUGCAAGCCUGCUUUACUAUUUUUUUGUGUUUUAAAAUGCUAUCUAUUGGGGCAUUCUUUGGAUUUUUAAAUUUUGACUGAUCUCUUUCUGCCUCUUUAUCUGUAGAAUUCAGGACUCAUAUUGCAUGUUCCCGUACAGUUCACUGUAAUAUUAUCGAUGGUUCUUUAUUUUUCUUCUGCAUCUCUCUACUUUUAUUCCCCCCUCACCCUUCAAAAAGAAAAAAAAAAAAUCAGUUCUGUCUAAUAACACCUUGUUCCUGGAUAUUUUAUUUCUCUCUUGGUUUCCAUGUGAUAACAGGUUAUACGUUGUGAUACCUGUGGGGCUGCAGGGUUUGACAGAGAUCUCUUUGUCACAAGUGCCAUGAAGGCGCAGAGCACACUUACUGUAUGCAUCCUGAUGAGCAGUCAGAACUAGAAGCAAACUGGAAGUUCGUGAAGAUUGGACAUGUCAAGAGUGCAUGCCGAGGGAAGGUACUAACAAAUUAGUUGAAGAUGAAGUUGAAGUGGCUGCAAGAAAAAGGAAGGGGCAUCUAUUUGAAAGUUCAACAAACUUUGAAUCUAGUAAAGGUUCAAAUUAAAAUCUAGAUCUUCAUGUACUGGGAAAAGUGGGGAAAAUAGUGCUGAGCUAUCAUCUAGAAGACUACUAGUCCCUGCCAAAAAGUUUACAUUAAAAUCCGUAAACAGAAUGUUUUAUUUUGGGCAGGAAAGAUCUAAUGGUGAAACUUCAUUUCCUGGACAUAGAUUACUGGUAAGCAAUGACAACACUCACAAAGACCCAAACUUUCCAAAUGGAACGAAGAAAAAUGAGAGCCAGCAAGGUGAACAGCAUAGAAAAGCUGGUAAAUCCACCAGCAUGUUUGAAUUAUGGACGGAUCCUGAUUUUGAUGGAAUGGCCUACUUCCAAAUGGAAAGAAGAAAAAUGAGAGCCAGCAAGGUGAACAACUCACAAAAGCUGCUACAUCCAUGAGCAUGUAUGAAUUACGGACUGAUCCUGCUUUUGAUGAAGGGACCUACUUGAGAAACUUGGUCCAGGUUGAGGCAGCAUAUCUUUCACAUCGUGUUGUGGUCCCAAAGGCUGAUCAGUGAUCACAAAUGGCUAGGCAAGUUUCAGAUACACAACAUUGAGGGUAUUGCAAGGACUUGGGAUGCGAUUCAAGCUCACUUAUCGAAUCGUGCAUCAGCCGAAGUUCUUGAAGUGGCGAAUACGAAUAGGCUUUCUGAGAUUAUUAUACUGGAGGAACUACCUCGAUUGAGGACUUGGCCAUCUCAAUUUAUGAGAAGUCAAGUCACUGAAGAUAAUAUUGCUCAGUACUUUUUUGCACAUGACUCUGAUAGCUAUAUAUAUUAUGAACAAUUGGUGAAUUACAUGAUGAAUAAUGACUUGGCUCUGAAAGGACAUUUGGAUGGGGUUGAGCUUUUAAUUUUUCCAUCUAACAUUCUGCCUGAGAAUUUCCAGUGAUGGAAUGGCAUGUUUUUCCUUUGGGGUGUAUUCAGAGGACAAAAGGCGAAUAACUCAGCAAGCACACCCAGUGUCAAAUUCUCUCAAGGAGAGCGGAUAACCAAUGCAGAUGUAAGCAGAGCUAAUGCACAUACUUACAGUCUUGCAGCUAAAAAAAGGAGAUGACAUGGCAAUAGUUGAUGAAAUUCCUGAAUUUGAAUCUUCAGGAGACACAGUUUUGGCGGUUGGAGAGAAUUCCGAUAGUAAAGGAGGAGUGGCAAAUGCAGAGCAUGCAGUUGUAGAUAUUAAUAAGUUUCACUUUGGCCUAAAAGUGAAACCCAAGAAAAUGGUUCUGUUGGGAUUGAGGAGUCUCUUGUACCACCUUCAACUCCAGAUUCAGACCGGUUGCAAGCUGUGGCUGCUUUGUUUUUGCUCGCUGAGGGUCACAUGGAGUUUUGAGUGCUGCAUUUGAAGAACACGUCUUAUUUAUAGUUAUCCUUUUUUAUGUCGCGUGUCACUGAGUCACUGUCAUAUUCAUAAUUCAUCCAUCGUGGGGAUAAUCUGUACCAGAACGAUUGGCAACUUAAGGAUACUUCCAUUCUUCUCUCUAGAGAUAAGUCUUCAAUGCCUCAUUUGAAGAACGCUUUUUUAUCGUUACCCUCAACCCCUUCAUAAACUUUAGAAUCUAGAAUGGGUUAUUGCUUGUUUCUUGCUUUCCAGUAUUUUUGUUGUUGCAAAUUUAUGGCACUUGACUUUAUUUA